Molecule: long non-coding RNA, 919 nt
Filed under: Cairina moschata (Muscovy duck)
Lineage: Eukaryota; Metazoa; Chordata; Aves; Anseriformes; Anatidae
Description: domestica (muscovy Duck (domestic type)) lncRNA (ENSCMMG00000003922.1)
Source: RNAcentral
CUGCUCUGUCUCCUGGCUUUCCUGCUGACCUCCCUGUGGCAGUUCCAUGUCUCCAGCCUGGGGACAGUGGCCAUGCUUGCACCCCCCCGUGGCAGCCAGUUCUGUGGCAGCAGCAAGUGGAGAGGUACUGGCAGCAGCAGAGUCACCAGAGGUUUUCCUGCAGGGAGCUUGGUUGGCCCAGGACAGCAUGAAACAGAGCCACGAACAUCUGGAAGGCAGAACCCAAUGGGCCUGGAUUUUUCUGGCUGCUGAGGCAAUGGCGACCCCCAGAUUUGGCUCCCGAGGUGUUUCUGUUCCCAGCGCUGGCUCAGCAGCAAUGCCCCAAGCACGCCGUGGCAGGCCCCAAUCUCACGGCACGUUCACGCAUGUGCUUGCUCUUAAACGAGCAACUGCUGCUCUCCAAAGCCUGUGCAUGGCAUUAACUGUGCUGCGCUGAGCCCUUUAUGCUCGAUAAACACCUUUGGGAAAUGCGUGCUUUCCAAAUGCCUGCUUGUCUGGAGUUGGGUUUUCUUCGGAGGAAAAAAUGAGCAUACUACUGCCUUUUCUUCCCAGUGGGCAGGGGACAGUUUUUGCCUGGUUUGAGGUGCCUGCAGAUGUUUAUUGCUGUGUUAAUGUGAAGUCUGGCAUGCUUCAUGAUGGCUGCUGGCACAGAAAAUCCCUCCCUGCCCUGGGGCUGCGUGCUUGAGCUCUGCUCUUGGGACCCUGCUCUGCACCAGCCCCGCAUCGUGCUCGGUCACCGGCCGCCUGGCACCAUGCGAGGGACCUGCCAAAUCCUUUGCUUGUGGCCGUGGUUAUGAAAUGCCAUGGAGCUCCUGCAGAAGGAGCACGGCAGAGCCCUGCGGACGGCUGGCAGUGAUGGGGGAUGAGGAAGGACAGCUGCAGACACACUGCAGGCACCAGCGUUGCAGUGUGCGGCUUG